This 90-nucleotide ribosomal RNA is filed under the name Neogale vison (American mink). The record is from RNAcentral. Lineage: Eukaryota; Metazoa; Chordata; Mammalia; Carnivora; Mustelidae.
CAUACCACCCUGAAUGCGCCUGAUCUCGUCUGAUCUCAGAAGCUAAGCAGGGUCGGGCCUGGUUAGUACUUGGAUGGGAGAAAACAAGUC